RNAcentral lists this ribosomal RNA (468 nucleotides) under uncultured bacterium. RNAcentral describes it as "partial 16S ribosomal RNA". It matches the Rfam family "Bacterial small subunit ribosomal RNA", at positions 28 to 507 of the family's 1533-position model. The record is from RNAcentral.
GACGAACGCUGGCGGCGUGCUUAACACAUGCUAGUCGAACGGAAAGUCCCUGCUUUUGUGGGGUGCUCGUUUCGCUAACUGGUGAGUAACACGUACGUAACCUGCCCUUUACUUUCGGAUAACUUCAGGAAACUGGUGCUAAUACCGGAUAGGAGCUCCUGCUGCAUGGUUGGGGUUGGAAAGUUUCGGCGGUUGGGGAUGGACUCGCGGCUUAUCAGCUUGUUGGUGAGGUAGUGUCUUACCAAGGCUUUGACGGGUAGCCGGCAUGAGAGGGUGACCGGAUACAUUGGAAAUGAGAUACGGCACAGACAAAUAAGGGAGGCAGAAGUGGGGAAUAUUGCACAAUGGGAGGAAGACUGAGGCAGCAACGCCGCGUGCGGGAUGACGGCCUUUGGGUUGUAAACCGCUUUCGACUGUGACGAAGCGUGAGUGACGGUAAUGGGUAAAGAAGAACCGGCUAACUAAGUG